RNAcentral lists this ribosomal RNA (459 nucleotides) under uncultured bacterium. Its description in RNAcentral is "partial 16S ribosomal RNA". It matches the Rfam family "Bacterial small subunit ribosomal RNA", at positions 338 to 795 of the family's 1533-position model. The record is from RNAcentral.
CCUACGGGGGGCAGCAGUGAGGAAUAUUGGUCAAUGGUCGGGAGACUGAACCAGCCAAGCCGCGUGAGGGAUGAAGGUACAGAGUAUCGUAAACCUCUUUUGUCAGGGAACAAAGGCGGGGACGUGUCCCCGGAUGAGUGUACCUGAAGAAAAAGCAUCGGCUAACUCCGUGCCAGCAGCCGCGGUAAUACGGAGGAUGCGAGCGUUAUCCGGAUUUAUUGGGUUUAAAGGGUGCGCAGGCGGUCUGUUAAGUCAGCGGUAAAAGCCCGGGGCGCAACCCCGGCCCGCCGUUGAAACUGGCAGUCUCGAGUUGGAGAGAAGUAUGCGGAAUGCGCGGUGUAGCGGUGAAAUGCAUAGAUAUCGCGCAGAACUCCGAUUGCGAAGGCAGCAUGCCGGCUCCACACUGACGCUGAGGCACGAAAGCGUGGGUAUCGAACAGGAUUAGAUACCCUAGUAGUC